ACACGACUACAUUAGACGUACCCGGGUAGUCCUAGCCGUAAACGAUACUCGCUAGGUGUCGGCCACGGUGCGACCGUUGUCGGUGCCGUAGGGAAGCCGUGAAGCGAGCCACGUUGGGAAGUACCGGCCGCAAGGCUAGAAACUUAAAGGAAUUGGCGGGGAGCACCACAACGGGUGGAGCUUGCGGUUUAAUUGGAUUCAACGCCGGAAAUCUUACCGGGACCGACAGCAACAUGAAGGCCAGGCUGAAGACUUUGCCGGAUUAGCUG
This 269-nucleotide ribosomal RNA is filed under the name uncultured archaeon. RNAcentral's name for it is "partial 16S ribosomal RNA". It matches the Rfam family "Archaeal small subunit ribosomal RNA", at positions 717 to 982 of the family's 1478-position model. The record is from RNAcentral.